GGGGCUAUAGUUUAAUGGUAAAAUACGUGUUUUGCAUACACGGGUUGUCAGUUCGAUUCUGGCUAGCUCCA
RNAcentral lists this transfer RNA (71 nucleotides) under marine bacterium B5-7. Its description in RNAcentral is "tRNA-Ala". It matches the Rfam family "tRNA". From Rfam's summary of the family: Transfer RNA (tRNA) molecules are approximately 80 nucleotides in length. Their secondary structure includes four short double-helical elements and three loops (D, anti-codon, and T loops). Further hydrogen bonds mediate the characteristic L-shaped molecular structure. tRNAs have two regions of fundamental functional importance: the anti-codon, which is responsible for specific mRNA codon recognition, and the 3' end, to which the tRNAs corresponding amino acid is attached (by aminoacyl-tRNA synthetases). tRNAs cope with the degeneracy of the genetic code in two manners: having more than one tRNA (with a specific anti-codon) for a particular amino acid; and 'wobble' base-pairing, i.e. permitting non-standard base-pairing at the 3rd anti-codon position. Lineage: Bacteria; Pseudomonadati; Pseudomonadota; Gammaproteobacteria. The record is from RNAcentral.